RNAcentral lists this ribosomal RNA (251 nucleotides) under uncultured bacterium. Its description in RNAcentral is "partial 16S ribosomal RNA". It matches the Rfam family "Bacterial small subunit ribosomal RNA", at positions 524 to 776 of the family's 1533-position model. The record is from RNAcentral.
UACGUAGGUGGCAAGCGUUGUCCGGAUUUAUUGGGUUUAAAGGGUGCGUAGGCGGCCCCGUAAGUCAGUGCUGAAAUAUCCCGGCUUAACCGGGAGGGUGGCAUUGAUACUGCGAGGCUUGAGUAAAGUUGAGGUAGGCGGAAUUGACGGUGUAGCGGUGAAAUGCUUAGAUAUCGUCAAGAACACCGAUAGUGUAGACAGCUUACUAGCUUAACUGACGCUGAGGCACGAAAGUGUGGGGAUCAAACAGG